This 3592-nucleotide long non-coding RNA is filed under the name Olea europaea subsp. europaea. The record is from RNAcentral. Lineage: Eukaryota; Viridiplantae; Streptophyta; Magnoliopsida; Lamiales; Oleaceae.
AGGACAUAUCUCGCCUGUAUAGCCAAUUUAGCAAUGUCUCGGUGGUCGACGGCCGCGUCCGCUUUUCGGUGGAUCGACGUCAGUGUCUCCCUCCCAACAUCGUUUUUCCGGUGGCCCAGGCUCUUCGCCUCGUAUUUGACGCCGACUUGGAGCAGUUUUUUCGACCUUAGUAGCUUCACCACCAGCUUCGAGCCGCGGCGUUUGGCUUCGCUUUUGCGAUUUCCAAAUCUGGAUUUCUCCAGCUUCUACAUCGUCGACACCGUCGUCUGGUCUGUCGUCUCUGCCAUAGAGUCCGUCGUGCUUGUGUCCUUCCUCUGCUUCUUCUUCGUCUUCUGUGGCUGCACCCUGUGAUAUGUCACAAUAAUAUUACUUCAAUGUGCUGUAUAGUUGCUUCGGAAUGGUGAAUUUCCGAUGGUCGGCGGGAAUUGUCGCGGGAAUUUUGAUGUGGGUUUUUGUGGUGAUCCAAUCAAGGCACUUCACUGCUAGUGACUGGACGAUGCCUGAGGGUAAUUUUGUCUAUGUAAUUUCACUAAUAAUUUCUAUUCCAUUUUUUCUGCUUAAUUUUCACCUUAAUUUUUCUUACAAAUUAACUCUAUCUAAUUGAGAGUUUAUAAAAAGUAAAAUUAAAAUAAAUUUGGCUAUAUAACUAGAACUGGGCAUGAGGUAUAUGGUUCCCGAUUUGAAGAUUCAGAAACAUUUAUAAUUUAAUUAAAUUUAGUGCUGGUUUUUAAUUUACUUUCAUAAUUUUUUGUUUAAAUGAUUCAGAGCUGUCUAAAUUUUGAAUAAAGCCAUUUAGCGGAAGUGAUGGCAAUGGGACGGGUUCGGGCUGGGUGCUCCUGCCCCGUCUCGCCACAACACCGUCCCAUCCCAUUUCACCCCACUCCACCCCAUCCCGCCGCUGCCCCAUUUAACGGGACAGGGCGGGGCAGUUUUUUGCCUUGUUUGCUGUCUCAUUUAUUUAAUUUUUUUAAUACACAUUUUCAAAAUUUAAAAUUAUACUAUUAAAUUAUAAAAUACAAAUUUAAAAUUUAAAAAUUCAAAACAAAUAAUGCUCAAAUUAAUAUCAAUAUUUAAAGAAAUACUCAAAAAAACAAUAUCCAAAAAUAUUCAUGGGGCGGGGCAUCAUGCCUUGCCCUGCCCCCAUGAACCUGUCGAGGUGAGUUUUUUUGCCCCAUUCGGGGCAAGGUAAAUUGCCAUAUCUAAUUUAGCUAAACUUAGAAACAAGGAGUGAGGACUUAAUAAUAGGGAGUGGAGAGAUAGACUGUCGACUGAUAUGUCAGAAAAUGAAUGAGUGUUUUUGUUUUAAUUUUUUAAAUUGCCAAUCAUGCGUUGACACAUGCCGUGUCCCCCAUCUAUCCCACCAAAAAAAAAUCUGGAUUUGAGCUUGAACAUGUAGUAUGAUUGUUAAGUUUUAGUUAGAAUUGAAUUAAGCGACCGAUUCAAUCUGGUUAUAAUUCGUCGAGUCUAGAGAUACUAGAAAUAAAUUGGACUUUGCUACAUGAUUUAUGGAUUGAAAACCUCCAAUAGUAUUAGGCUAUAUUAAUUUUCCAAUGGUCUUAGAUAAUAAUCAGAAACAUAUUUAUUUUUGUGGUUUUGGACCUUUAUCAAUCAUAUUAGUCUUUGAUUAAAUGUUGUCUUUUGAUUAAUUAUCGUAUUUUUUUCCAUAUAUUUUGUCCCUUUUCCAUUUUAUGUACAUUGAAAAAGGACGACAUGACCUAGGUCUACCCGAAACCAAUGAAGAAAAUGGUAUCACUUCUUAAAUGACUAAUGUUUCAUUUUAUGUAAAUUUGUGACUUUGAAUUGAAUCGAUUGUAUUCUUUUAGUCAUUGUGCAUUUUGUGUGAGAUACCUUUCGUGAUGAAAAAAUAAUUGGUAAUAUUUCUUUUUCUUAUUUUAUUCAUUAAUUACUAUAUUUGAUGCUCAAUUCGUACAAAAUAUUUGAAAAUCAUUUUAAAUUGAACAAGUAUAUAUAUUCGUCUCACUUGCUCAAGCUAGAUGAGUAGAUCAAAAAAUAAAAAGUUAUUGGAGAAUCAAGACACAAGUGACUUCAUGAAGAUAAAAGUGUUGUAAAGUUAUACACCUUGUUGUUGAGGUGUCCACGGAUAUUUGUAUGGUCCCUUCUCCAAUCUCAUAAAUAUGCCAAAGUUUUUCAUCCCUGAACAAAAUUAAAAAAUAAAUUAAUUAAGGGUGUGCUCGAUACAGAAGGAAUGAACAAAAUUAAAAAAUAAGUAAAUUAAGGGUGUGCUCGAUAUAGAAGAACAAAUUUUGUUGUACGUUCGUCUUCUUUUACAUAUCCAUGCAUCAUCCAGGUAUUAAUAGCUUGUUUGAAAAGGUGUAUUAAAAAGAAAAAUACAUUAUAGUCUCUUUUAGUGCUAUAUUUCUGCUUUUCUUCUUUUGAUAUUUGUUUGAUUAAAUAUAAAUAUAUUAAUUAGCAUAUAUAUUUUAAUUGAACGAUCAUAUUUCACAAUUAAUUUUCUUAAACGACACACGAUCAUAGAUGUUUGCUGAGAAAGUAUAUUCCAUCAAUACUAUUUUCUCAGUCAACAUUUUAUACCUUCAAUUUGAAAUAAAUCCUAAAAGUCUAGCGUGCCCUGAUUUUUUGAUGCUCAAAUCCACGAGCAAUUGGUCAUUCUUUGACGAACUUCUAGUAUCCCCGACCAAUAAAUUUUUGUUUAAAUAUUAAGAUAAAUUCCUUCAGGGUUCUAACCUUUAUUAAGUGUGAUAGUCACGUUCUUAACUUUUCAUAUGCGCACAGUAUCCCACCUGAUUGAAAACGCCUAUUUAGAUGUUAAAAUAAAAAUCAAACUGAAAGGAUAUAAUUGCCUAAGAAGUAGCAAAAUUUUUGAACAUUCAUCGUUUAGUUUUCGGAAUAAAGAUUUUAUUUGAACAAUUUUAUCAUUUCAACCGGAGUCGCGGACGAAUUUAACAUCUAAAUUGACAUUUUCAGUUAGGUGAGGAUACCACGUGGAAUGUUAAAAGAUAGGUGACGUGAAUAGGGGCGGAGCCAUAUACAGUUGAGUGGAGGCCAAUGCCUGCGCUCAACUUUGGGCUGCCCCUGUGCCCCAGUUAAAGAAUUGCCACUGUUUUCCAUCAGAAUUGGAGAAGGACCUAGUAGGAGAAGAAGAAAUUUGGAAAAUGAAGGGCGGGUACGGGGUUCAUCAUGCUCCUUUGCAAUAACGAGACGAUGGAAAGGUCUGGUCAUGGCUGUUUUGGGUCAGAAAUUUGGAAAAUGAAGGGCGGGUACGGGGUUCAUCAUGCUCCUUUGCAAUAAAGAGACGAUGGAAAGGUCUGGUCAUGGCUGUUUUGGGUCUCGUGUUUCUUUCCAUGCUGGUUCCUAAACAACUUUUAUAAGCAUUUUACAAGUCACUUUGUUAUAAAGAAAUUUUUUUUUACACUUCAAAUUUGACCGUAAAUUAUGCUCACACUGAAAUUUUUUUCUAGCUCCGCCCCUGGACGUGAAUGCCAUAAAUAAAAGCUUGAGGAUAUAGCUGGCACACUUACGAAAAGUGAAGAACCUUUGGAGAAAUUUACCCCGAAAUAUUAUUCAUUUUGUAUUAAACUCAACAUCAAAAUUUUCAAUUCCAAACAAUUCG